Molecule: ribosomal RNA, 487 nt
Filed under: uncultured bacterium
Lineage: Bacteria
Description: bacterial SSU rRNA
Rfam family: Bacterial small subunit ribosomal RNA
Source: RNAcentral
GAUGAACGCUAGCGGGAGGCUUAACACAUGCAAGUCGAGGGGCAGCAUAGGGUAGCAAUACUCUGAUGGCGACCGGCAAACGGGUGAGUAACGCGUAUGCAACCUACCCUGUACAGGGGGAUAACCCGGAGAAAUUCGGACUAAUACCCCGUAAUAAUAUCCGGAGGCAUCUUUGGAUAUUUAAAGUUUCGACGGUACGGGAUGGGCAUGCGUAACAUUAGCUGGUUGGUAAGGUAACGGCUUACCAAGGCUAUGAUGUUUAGGGGUCCUGAGAGGGUGGUCCCCCACACUGGUACUGAGACACGGACCAGACUCCUACGGGAGGCAGCAGUGAGGAAUAUUGGUCAAUGGGCGCAAGCCUGAACCAGCCAUCCCGCGUGCAGGAAGACGGCCCUAUGGGUUGUAAACUGCUUUUCCAGGGAGAGAAACUUACGCACGUGUUGCGUGACUGACGGUACCCUGGGAAUAAGCAUCGGCUAACUCCGUG